AGCAGCCGCGGUAAUUCCAGCUCCAAUAGCGUAUAUUAAAGUUGUUGCAGUUAAAAAGCUCGUAGUUGAAUUUCGGGAUCAGAGGAUCGGUCAUGCCUUGGUAUGUACUGGUUUUAUUGGUUCUCACCUUCUAAAGAACCAUAAUGUCAUUCAUUUGAUGUUAUGGGGAAUUAGGACUGUUACCUUGAAAAAUUAGAGUGUUUAAAGCAGGCUUACGCUUGAAUACAUUAGCAUGGAAUAAUGAAAUAGGACAUCAGAUUCUAUUUUGUUGGUUUCUAGGAUCGAUGUAAUGAUUAAUAGGGAUAGUUGGGGGCAUUAGUAUUCAAUUGUCAGAGGUGAAAUUCUUGGAUUUAUUGAAGACUAACUACUGCGAAAGCAUUUGCCAAGGAUGUUUUCAUUAAUCAAGAACGAAAGUUAGGGGAUCGAAGACGAUCAGAUACCGUCGUAGUCUUAACCAUAAACUAUGCCGACUAGGGAUCGGAUGAUGUUAAUUUAUAAUGACU
Molecule: unclassified non-coding RNA, 503 nt
Filed under: uncultured Glomus
Lineage: Eukaryota; Fungi; Glomeromycota; Glomeromycetes; Glomerales; Glomeraceae
Description: SSU rRNA
Rfam family: Eukaryotic small subunit ribosomal RNA
Source: RNAcentral